RNAcentral lists this transfer RNA (69 nucleotides) under Anadara kagoshimensis. RNAcentral's name for it is "tRNA-Gly". Lineage: Eukaryota; Metazoa; Mollusca; Bivalvia; Arcoida; Arcidae. The record is from RNAcentral.
UCACCGGGAAGUACUGAUGUAUGUGUGCCUUCCAAGUACGAGGCCUGAGUAGUUACUCAGCCUGGUGAA